RNAcentral lists this small RNA (3316 nucleotides) under Vigna angularis var. angularis. RNAcentral describes it as "Non-protein coding transcript". The record is from RNAcentral. Lineage: Eukaryota; Viridiplantae; Streptophyta; Magnoliopsida; Fabales; Fabaceae.
CAAAAUUCAGUAAGAUAUCUAUGGUGUGUGAAAUUUCCAAAUGAUUUGGAUUGCUCCAAUCUUGAGUUUUUAUGCUUACGGACAAAGAUGAAAGAAUUUGAUGGGAUUUUCAAAAGAAUGGGAAUGCUCAAAGUUUUGAUUCUUGUCCACGAUGAGUAUAGAAGAACACCAUUGUUAACAAUAUCUUUCGAAACAUUAACAAAUCUUCGUUGUCUAUUGAUUGUGAAUUAUGAAUUGAGCGACUUCUCAUUUUUAGGCGGUAUGAAGAAUCUUCACAGUCUCUCGUUAUAUAAUUGUUUACUGCCUUCAUUUCCUGAAUUACAAACCGUUGUUGCGAUUACACUAAAAUUGUUAGCGUUAAAUGGAUGUAACAUUAAAGUGAAGAAUUUUGAAGUGAUUAAAAGAAUCCCGCUUUUGGAAGAGUUGUACAUUAUUGAUAUUAAAGGAGAAUGGGAUGCUAACAGUGAAGACAAUAUUGAAUUUUUUAAGACGUUUAGCAUUCCCGAAACACUGCAAAGGUAUGGAAUUGUAUUAGGGUCUCGUUACUUUGAUCAUUUUAAUUAUGGAGAUAUUUACAUUCAUGGAAGAACUUUGUUACUUAACCAUUUUGACAUAUCAAAUGAGGUAAUAAAGGGUUUGGCAAAAAGAGCAAAGGAUCUAUUUGUGGCAACUAUUCAUGGAGGUGCAAAAAAUAUCAUCCCUGAUAUAUUUCAAAUUGAAGGAGGAGGUUUGGAUGAGUUGAAUAAGUUGGAGAUACAUUCUGAAGAGUUAGAAUGUUUGAUUGACACACGUAGUCACUCGAGUGAGGUGGUAACUCUCUUCUCCAAGUUGCAUACGCUUCGAAUUAAGAACAUGAGAAAUCUAAGAGUUAUAUGGCAUUGUUUUCUUCCUGCCAAUGGGCCUUUUGAGAACUUAGAGAAGUUUGAUUUAAGUGAUUGUCCAGGACUGACAUCUCUCUUCACGUAUGCUGUUGCUCGAAGUUUGGUAAAAUUGAAAAUAUUAAAAAUAUCAAGAUGUGAUGAACUGAAGUAUAUAUUAGCAGAUGAUGACAAAACGGAGGAAGGUGAAGAUGUACAAAUUUUCCAAAAUCUGCAGGAUGUAAAGAUAAAUAGGUGUCGAGAAUUAAAACAUAUAUUCCCAGCCAACAUUGUUGGAGGCUUAACUCAAUUGAAAGUUGUUGAGAUAGAAAAAUGUGAGAAGCUAGAUCAAAUAAUUGGAGAUAUUGUUCCAUCAACAGACCGUGAUAAAGUAAUAGAGGAAGGAACUCUAUCCAGCCCUGGAGGCCUUAAGAUAAAACGUUGUGGGAAGUUAGGCUCAAUUUUUACAGCAUCUAUAGCUAAGAACUUGACUUCUUUGGAAAAAUUGUACAUACGAGGGUGCAAAAGUUUGAAGUAUAUAGUAACUCACGAAAGGGUCAACAAAAAUCAGGAGGAAAGCAUUGUUGAGGAUGAACAUGAUUGUCAGAGUGAUAUUUCAAUCUUCCAAAGUUUGAAGAAGAUACAUAUCAGUGAAUGUGAGUUAUUGGAGGGUAUAUUCCCUGUUUCUUUUGUUGGAGAAUUGAAUGAUAUAACAAAUAAAGAGGCUGCUGAUUUGGAAGACUUCUCUAGUCGAAAUAAUACUCAAAUUGAGCUUCCCGCUUUACAAGUACUUGAACUUCAUCGUAUUCGGAACAAAACCGUUGUUGGUAGUUAUGAUGUGAUAUGUCCAUCUUUAAGAAAACUAUCAUUGGAUAUUGGGAGAUAUGUUGGGUUUUUCAACAUAAAUUGUUCAAGCGAUGCUUCAGAAGCUACAAAAAGGGAUUGUAUUGCAAUCAAGAUAUCGAACUCAGAUUUUGAUCCGCCGGUUGAAAGUGUUGAAUGUCUUUCAAAACAACCACAUGGUUUGAACUUGAUUGUGACACACAAUAUUAGAGAGAUUGAACUGACAGGCUUUGAUAAGGCAAAGUACCUUUUUAAACUGUCCAUUGCUUCAUCAUUGACGAUGUUGGAAAUUUUGAGAAUUAACGAAUGUGGUGGACUUGAGUACAUUAUAGACACUGAUGAUGAAUAUGGCAAAGAGAAUAAGAAAGCUAUCUUUCCUAACUUAAAAAAGCUCUAUGUGUAUGAAUGUUGCCAAUUGAAAUAUAUGGUUGGGCAAUAUGACGUAGCUAAUAAGGAUUAUAAGGAUAUUCACAUUCAAUUCUCAGCAUUGGAAAAACUAUUUCUUCGGAAUCUACCAAAGUUUGUUAGCAUUUGUUCUACCAACAAUCUCACUGUGACGUGGCCAUCUUUGAAGGACUUUGAGUGUUACGGAUGUUUAUGUCCAUUUUAUGGUUCAAGAGAGCCUAUUAUCACAAGUACGAAGGAUCCGAAAGGGAUUCAGAACCUUCUCCCCACUUUGCAAACUCUAAGCAUAACGGAUUCUGAUGCAAAACGUAUUUUUUGUCUUAAUGAACAUGAAAUGAUUGGCCAACAAGUGAGUUUAAGGUUAGAGAAAUUGGACUUGAAUAUAUUACCUCAGAUGACUUAUAUUUGGGUGGGUCCCAACAAUUCACUUACUCUCCAACAUCUUACCACAUUAAAAAUAUGGGAUUGUGGAAAGUUGGAAGUAAUCUUUCUAAAGUCUGUUGUAAGAUUCUUACCAGAGUUGAAGCUUUUGGCGAUUAAAGAUUGCAAAGAAUUAAGAGAAAUAAUUGAAGGGGAUAGAAAUUUGUCUAACCUUGUUUCUCCUCAACCAUUCUUCCCAAAACUAGAAGCAUUGCUUGUUAAUCAUUGUCACAAGUUGAAAAGAUUAUUCUCUGGAUCUGCUUCUAAUGACCUUCUCAAUCUUCAUUUUCUGUUCAUAAAUGGAGCCAAUGAACUAGAAGAGCUUGUUGGAUGUAAACAAGGAAAGAUUAAAGUUGAGCUUCCAAGACUCAAACUUUUAAUAUUUAUGCGUCUGGAAAACUUCAGUCAAGAAUUGCAUAAUGUAAAGAAUUGCAUUGUCUACAAAUGUCCAAAACUCUCUUUGACUUCAACAACUACAUUUCAGAAGCUCACUGAAGAUUUUCCUGAAGAUUUCGAAGACACUGAACUUGAUGGUUGGACAUUUGAUGCAGAUGACAUCCCUUCAGACAUAUCUGAUGACUGUUCACAGGAGAGUGGGGAUGUAGGAAAUGAGAGCAUUAAAGAGGGCCCUUUAGUUGAAGACAUUGGCAUUGAAGGUGGUGUUGCAACUCACGUUGAGUCUGGUGGUGAGGACAAACUUGUGCUAGAUUCCAAGGUAGUUGAACAAGAUGAUAAAUUGAAUGAAGUUGGAUUUGAGAGUUCAUGGGUAGAGGAAAUGCGUCAACGUGUUG